Molecule: ribosomal RNA, 630 nt
Filed under: uncultured bacterium
Lineage: Bacteria
Description: bacterial SSU rRNA
Rfam family: Bacterial small subunit ribosomal RNA
Source: RNAcentral
GUUUGAUCAUGGCUCAGGAUGAACGCUGGCGGCGUGCUUAACACAUGCAAGUCGAACGGGAAACCUUUUAUUGAAGCUUCGGCAGAUUUAGAUUGUUUCUAGUGGCGGACGGGUGAGUAACGCGUGGGUAACCUGCCUUAUACAGGGGGAUAACAGUCAGAAAUGACUGCUAAUACCGCAUAAGCGCACAGAGCUGCAUGGCUCGGUGUGAAAAACUCCGGUGGUAUAAGAUGGACCCGCGUUGGAUUAGCUAGUUGGUGAGGUAACGGCCCACCAAGGCGACGAUCCAUAGUCGGCCUGAGAGGGUGAACGGCCACAUUGGGACUGAGACACGGCCCAGACUCCUACGGGAGGCAGCAGUGGGGAAUAUUGCACAAUGGGGGAAACCCUGAUGCAGCGACGCCGCGUGAAGGAAGAAGUAUCUCGGUAUGUAAACUUCUAUCAGCAGGGAAGAAAAUGACGGUACCUGACUAAGAAGCCCCGGCUAACUACGUGCCAGCAGCCGCGGUAAUACGUAGGGGGCAAGCGUUAUCCGGAUUUACUGGGUGUAAAGGGAGCGUAGACGGAUGGACAAGUCUGAUGUGAAAGGCUGGGGCUCAACCCCGGGACUGCAUUGGAAACUGCCCGUCU